Molecule: ribosomal RNA, 796 nt
Filed under: uncultured bacterium
Lineage: Bacteria
Description: bacterial SSU rRNA
Rfam family: Bacterial small subunit ribosomal RNA
Source: RNAcentral
ACGGAAUUUGUCGAAGAUGAAAAUCAGUGGCGGACGGGUGAGUAUAAGUAAGGAACGUACCCUGAAGUAUCGCAUAGCUCGUCGAAAGACGGGGUAAUACGGUAUGUGAACGCAAGUUCAAAGAGCGUAACAACUCGCUUUAGGAGCGGCCUUAUAUCUAUCAGCUAGUUGGUGGGGUAAAGGCCUACCAAGGCUACGACGGAUAGGGGGUGUGAGAGCACGACCCCCCACAAUGGCACUGAGACACGGGCCAUACAUCUACGGAUGGCAGCAACUGGGAAUAUUCGGCAAUGGACGAAAGUCUGACCGAGCGACGCCGCGUGAGGGAUGAAGGUUUUCAGAUCGUAAACCUCUUUUAUAUUGCCGUCGAGGCAAUAAGAAUAAGCACCUACAAACUACGUGCCAGCAGUCGCGGUAAUACGUAGGGUGCAAGCGUUAUCCGGAUUCACUGGGCGUAAAGUGUCGUGUAGGCGGCAUGCCGCAUCGUGUCUGAAAGCCCGAGGCUUAACCUCGGCGUUGGACACGAGAUGGGUAAACUAAGAGGAAUGGAGAGGAAAGGGGAACUCAUGGUGAAGCAGUGAAAUGCGUUGAUAUCAUGAGGAACACCGAAGGCGAAGGCACCUUUCUGGCCAUUAACUGACGCUGAGACACGAAAGCUAGGGGAGCGAAGCAGAUUAGAGACCUGCGUAGUCCUAGCCCUAAACGCAUGUCUGCUAGAUGCCCUGACGCAAGUUGGGGUGUCGUAAGCUAACGCGUUAAGCAGACCGCCUGGGGACUACGAGCGCAAGCUUAAAAC